RNAcentral lists this ribosomal RNA (908 nucleotides) under uncultured archaeon. Its description in RNAcentral is "bacterial SSU rRNA". It matches the Rfam family "Archaeal small subunit ribosomal RNA", at positions 16 to 1304 of the family's 1478-position model. The record is from RNAcentral.
GCCGGACGGCCACCUCAUAUAGGAAUUCCAUUAAGACAUGCGAGUCGAGAGUCUUCGGGACUCGGCGGACUGCUCAGUAACACGUGGAUAACAUGCCCUUAGGAGGGGGAUAAUCUCGAGAAAUUGAGAAUAAUACCCCAUAGGCCAUGGAUGCUGGAAUGCUCCAUGGCUCAAAGUUCCGGCGCCUAAGGAUUGGUCUGCGGCCUAUCAGGUCGUAGUGGGUGUAACGGACCCACUAGCCAAUGACGGGUAUGGGCCUUGAGAGAGGGAGCCCAGAGAUGGACUCUGAGACACGAGUCCAGGCCCUACGGGGCGCAGCAGUCGCGAAACCUUCACACUGGGGGCAACCCUGAUGAGGGAAUUCCUAGUGCCUGCAUUUUGUGUAGGCUUUUCUCUAGUGUAGAUAGCUAGAGGAAUAAGGGCCGGGUAAGACGGGUGCCAGCCGCCGCGGUAAUACCCGCGGCCCGAGUGGUGGUCGAUAUUAUUGAGUCUAAAACGUCCGUAGCCUGUUCAGUAAAUCUUUGGGUAAAUCGGCCAGCUCAACUGACCGAAUUCCGGAGAGACUGCUGAACUUGGGACCGGGAGAGGCCAGAGUACUUCUGGGGUAGGGGUAAAAUCCUGUAAUCCUAGAAGGACCACCGGUGGCGAAGGCGUCUGGCUAGAACGGAUCCGACGUGAGGGACGAAGCCCUGGGGCGCAAACGGGAUUAGAUACCCCGGUAGUCAGGGUGUAAACGCUGUAGCUUGUGUUGGGGGUCCUUCGAGGGCGCCCAGUGCCGGAGAGAAGUUGUUAAGCCUGCUACUUGGGGAGUACGUCCGCAAGGAUGAAACUUAAAGGAAUUGGCGGGGGAGCCCAAGGUGGAAUUGGUCUACACCGUGCAAGCUUAUCCGAUCUAUAGACGUCGUGCG